This 253-nucleotide ribosomal RNA is filed under the name uncultured bacterium. Its description in RNAcentral is "partial 16S ribosomal RNA". It matches the Rfam family "Bacterial small subunit ribosomal RNA", at positions 524 to 776 of the family's 1533-position model. The record is from RNAcentral.
UACGUAGGGGGCAAGCGUUGUCCGGAUUCAUUGGGCGUAAAGAGCGUGUAGGCGGCCAGGUAGGUCGGUUGUGAAAACUGGAGGCUCAACCUUCAGACGUCGACCGAAACCAUCUGGCUAGAGUCCGGGAGAGGAGAGUGGAAUUCCUGGUGUAGCGGUGAAAUGCGCAGAUAUCAGGAAGAACACCGAUGGCGAAGGCAGCUCUCUGGGACGGUACUGACGCUGAGACGCGAAAGCGUGGGGAGCGAACAGG